UACGUAGGGAGCAAGCGUUGUCCGGAAUCAUUGGGCGUAAAGAGCGCGUAGGCGGCCCUGUAAGUCCGUUCUGAAAGUCAAAGGCUCAACCUUUGAAAGCGGAUGGAUACUGCAGGGCUAGAGUCCGGAAGAGGCGAGUGGAAUUCCAGGUGUAGCGGUGAAAUGCGUAGAUAUCUGGAGGAACACCGGUGGCGAAGGCGGCAUCCUGGACCGGCAUUGACGCUGAGGAGCGAAAGCUAGGGGAGCAAACGGG
RNAcentral lists this ribosomal RNA (253 nucleotides) under uncultured bacterium. Its description in RNAcentral is "partial 16S ribosomal RNA". It matches the Rfam family "Bacterial small subunit ribosomal RNA", at positions 524 to 776 of the family's 1533-position model. The record is from RNAcentral.